This is a long non-coding RNA of Procambarus clarkii (red swamp crayfish), 937 nucleotides long. RefSeq lists it as uncharacterized. The record is from RefSeq and is a predicted model, not a curated record. Lineage: Eukaryota; Metazoa; Arthropoda; Malacostraca; Decapoda; Cambaridae.
GACUAUAUUUUCCAGCUGAAUUAUACAAUUUAAAAACAAUAAUAAUAAUUUGUUUAGGAACAGUACAUAGUUGCAAACAUAGUUGCAGCGUUACAGGACAAUCAUUCUGUUAGAUUUAAAGAUAAGAGGUAGUACAUACAAUAACUAAAGCCACUAGUACGCAUAGCAUUUCGGGCAAAAAAACGAAAGUAAUCAACGUUGAUGAAGUUAAUAAAGAGUUUGGUGAAGAUAAAUCCCCUCUGGAGAGCAAUAAUCGCCAUUUAACCACCCAACUAGCUAGUUUAAAUAGCUUCCAGCAAUUCAGAUCUGGCGAGCGAGGAGUGAGGUGAGACCCAGAGGGGCUCAGUCUACCGGCGACCGUCGGCCGGGGAGGAGGUCCUGUGUCUCGUCGGCCGGCGAUGUAUUUUUAUUUUUUACGUUUUUAUCAUUAUUACUGUGGUUUAGAGCACACAAGGUGUUGGAGAACGUUGACCAGAUUCACUGAAGAUGCAGUACGGAGUUAGCUGAAGAAAUGAGGGUUACCGAUUGCCAGAUGGUUUCAUCAGCCUUCUCACAAUUACAGUACAGUUUAGGGUGGUUAUAUUGGCGCCUGAAUCCAUGUGUAACAACGUUAAUCACUACAGCCGAGCAGUUGCAAAAUCUGGAUAGAGCACAAGAAUGAUCCAAUAUGUGUACAACAAAGUUUUAAGAUACUCGUAUUCUGUGACAAAAUCUCGCUCAAUCAACAGAUUACAGAACCAACUAGGAAUGAAACACUAGACUUUUCUGAUUAGUUCAUCAUUGUGAACAUUACAAUCUCGGAUACUACAUACUCAGACCAUAAGCUCAUUGAAGUGCGUUCUAAGAGACCCAAGAAGCGAGAAGGGGUAUUCAAUCAAUUCAUUUUCAACAAUAAGAGGAUCGUGUGGGAUAAAAUAAAUGUAGACCUUGCAAACAU